AUGCCGAUGGUAGUGUGGGGCAUCCCCAUGUGAGAGUAGGUCACCGCCAAAUUUAUUACUUUAGUUUAUUCAGUCUUGUUAGUAAGCUAAAGUAAUAAAAAUUUUAGCGGUUAUA
Molecule: ribosomal RNA, 115 nt
Filed under: Aggregatibacter actinomycetemcomitans NUM4039
Lineage: Bacteria; Pseudomonadati; Pseudomonadota; Gammaproteobacteria; Pasteurellales; Pasteurellaceae
Source: RNAcentral